CGGCAGGCCUAACACAUGCAAGUCGAGCGGGGAUAUAAUAGACUUAAUGUCUAAUAUAUUCUAGCGGCGGACGGGUGAGUAACGCGUGGGUAACCUGCCCUAUACACUGGGAUAACAUCGAGAAAUCGGUGCUAAUACCGGAUAAGCUAACAGUAAGGCAUCUUAUAGUUAGAAAAACUGAGGUGGUAUAGGAGGGGCCCGCGUCUGAUUAGCUAGUUGGUGAGGUAAGAGCUUACCAAGGCGACGAUCAGUAGCCGACCUGAGAGGGUGAUCGGCCGCAUUGGAACUGAGACACGGUCCAAACUCCUACGGGAGGCAGCAGUGGGGAAUAUUGCACAAUGGGGGGAACCCUGAUGCAGCAAACGCCGCGUGAAGGAAGAAGUAUUUCGGUAUGUAAACUUCUAUCGACAGGGAAGAAAGAAAUGACGGUACCUGAAUAAGAAGCACCGGCUAAAUACGUGCCAGCAGCCGCGGUAAUACGUAUGGUGCAAGCGUUAUCCGGAUUUACUGGGUGUAAAGGGUGAGUAGGCGGUUAGGUAAGUCAUAUGUGAAAUUCUGGGGCUCAACCCCAGAGCUGCAUAAGAAACUAUUUAACUAGAGUACAGGAGAGGUAAGCGGAAUUCCUAGUGUAGCGGUGAAAUGCGUAGAUAUUAGGAAGAACACCGGUGGCGAAGGCGGCUUACUGGACUGAAACUGACGCUGAGUCACGAAAGCGUGGGGAGCGAACAGGAUUAGAUACCCUGGUAGUCCACGCUGUAAACGAUGAGUGCUAGGUGUUGGGGAGAGAUUCUCGGUGCCGCAGCAAACGCAAUAAGCACUCCACCUGGGGAGUACGGCCGCAA
This 842-nucleotide ribosomal RNA is filed under the name [Clostridium] piliforme (Tyzzer's bacillus). Its description in RNAcentral is "bacterial SSU rRNA". It matches the Rfam family "Bacterial small subunit ribosomal RNA", at positions 40 to 891 of the family's 1533-position model. Lineage: Bacteria; Bacillati; Bacillota; Clostridia; Lachnospirales; Lachnospiraceae. The record is from RNAcentral.